UAGCUCAGCGGUGAGAGCGGCUGACUCAUAAUCAGUAGGUCCCUGGUUCAAAUCCG
This 56-nucleotide transfer RNA is filed under the name Candidatus Desantisbacteria bacterium CG_4_9_14_3_um_filter_50_7. Its description in RNAcentral is "tRNA-Met". It matches the Rfam family "tRNA", at positions 8 to 61 of the family's 71-position model. From Rfam's summary of the family: Transfer RNA (tRNA) molecules are approximately 80 nucleotides in length. The record is from RNAcentral. Lineage: Bacteria; Candidatus Desantisiibacteriota.